CACUUACCUAUAGCUAAUGGAAUAUUUAAGUGGAGCUCAUAGGAGUGAAAAACGGCUCAUACAUAUGUUGUCUAAUCGAGCCAUGGAUCCAAAGGAACUCAGCAUAUAAUUAAAUCAAGAUGUGCAUGUGUGGUGGACUACAUGAUAGUGAUGGUAAAAAUGUAUAGGUGAUAAUAAAACUUACUUCUCAUUGCUCCUCAUAUUGCUAUCUCUCCUCUUCUUUGAUCUUUGCUUUGGGAGAACAUGGGCUAUCUUUUUCUCCUUUUUUUCAGGUGGGUAGUAGAUACCCCUAAUUCUACUAUCGGACACUUGUCCAUUUUUUCCCCUCAAGUGGGCAUCUUUGUACCCCUAAUUCUACUUCGGACACUUGUCCAUUUUUACCUCUCGUCUCACUCUUUUUCUUUCUUUUCGAGGUUCCGGGCACUUGCCCCUUUUUAUUUCCUCGCAUAUUUUUGCAUAACCCAUGCCUCUUCUGCAUUGAAUCUUUUUGGAGAGAGAGAAUAACAACACUUGGGACAGUGAG
RNAcentral lists this long non-coding RNA (523 nucleotides) under Sorghum bicolor (sorghum). RNAcentral's name for it is "long non-coding RNA (SBIC_LNC003495)". The record is from RNAcentral. Lineage: Eukaryota; Viridiplantae; Streptophyta; Magnoliopsida; Poales; Poaceae.